Molecule: long non-coding RNA, 6312 nt
Filed under: Sus scrofa (pig)
Lineage: Eukaryota; Metazoa; Chordata; Mammalia; Artiodactyla; Suidae
Description: lncRNA (ENSSSCG00000050950.2)
Source: RNAcentral
AAGGAAGCAAGAACAUAAAAUGUGAAAAAGACAGUCUUUUCAGCAAGCAUUGCUGGGAAACCUGGACAGCUACAUCGAAAUCAAUGAAACAAAUUUAUUUUUAACUAAUUUAGUAUUAGUUAAAUUUAUAAUUAGUUAAUAUAGUUUAUUGCUACUAGUCUACUAGUUUAUGGCAGAGAUUUUAAUCUGUUAUUUUCAACUUUGUGUCAUUUAUAUACAGAACCAUGCCUAGUGCACAGCAGACACAUAGAUAAGUUUUGGCACUAUAGCAGCAUGCCAUGCAUAUCUGGAUCUGUAGCAGAUUCUUGCAGUUGUAUCCUCUCAACAUACCCUAGGACAACUGCACAUAAUUUCUUUAUAUGCACAUAGCCUUCUGUGCUUCAUUGCCCAAGGACUUUUGCUGGCUGCAGGAGUAUGGCAGUCAAGGGGAAGGCUUGAAGUGCUGGAGAAUUAGUGUUCCUGGAGUGACUUUCAGCCAGUGGGGAAUGAGAGUCUGAGUGUGUGUCCCACAGAAACUCUGAGAGAUUCCUUAGCAGGAUUGAUACCUGACUGUCUACAGCAGAGACUUGCUCGUUUGUGAACCCGUAUUGACUUUGCCUCCCUUCUCUCUAUCACUUUAUUAUUCUUUCAAAGUGCUUUCAUUAUCACAUCCCAAAUAAACUACUGCACCCAUUGUUUAGGGAGAAAGCCAAGUUAAGACAGGGCCAGUGCCUUGAACAACUCUAGAGGCACUAUUCACAUUGUAUUCUGUCCUUUCCUGGGCACCAUUUAUAUUAGAAUAUAUAAAUGACAACUAUGAAAGACAUAUUUAAGGAAUAGACUUUGAUAAUAACUAAGUCUUAGUUAAAAACUUUCAGUUAGUGUUUCUUCGAUGCUUUCUUUCUGUGUUCUAGGAAUAGAAGGGAGGGAAGGAUGAAAGAAAAUUAAAUGGUACGACUUUGACUUCACUGAAUUUAUUGUUACAAAAUGGUUUGGAAUACAAGAUGAGACUUUCUAUAUCCAGGUACUGAUUUAGCCUAAAAUAUUUUCACCUGUUUCUAAUCACUUUUUUUUUGUUGUUCUUUUUGUCUUUUUAGGGCCAUACCCAUGGCAUAUGGAGGUUCCCAGGCUAGGGGUCCAGUCGAGCUGUAGAUGCUGGCCUACGCCAAGGCUAUAGAAACUCCAGAUCCAAGUUGAGUCUGUGACCUACACCACAGCUCACAGCAAUGCUGGAUCCUUAACCCACUGAGCGAGGCCAGGAAUCGAACCCACAACCUCCUGGUUCCUAGUCCAAUUUGUUUCCAUUGCGCCAUGAAGGGCACUCCCUCUAAUUACAUUUGUGGCACCAAAUGUUUACGGGUUUUUUCCCACCAUACUAACCAAUUCUCCAACUCUCUGGAUACCAACUGAGUGUGGUAAAAUUCAGUUCAAUUCUGGCUCCAACUACCUUUGAGGUUAAGGGCUCUGUCCUAUAAGUCCACCCUUUAUUUUAGAUGUCAUUUGCAAGUUCUGGGCCUUCCAUACUUACGGCCAACUCACUAUGAAUCAAGUGUUUCCAUGAACCCUUCCUUAGGCUUUGUAAUUUACUAGAAUGGAUCAUAGAACUCAGGAGAACUCUGUUUGUUAGCACUUGUUUAUUACAAAAGAUUAAAAGGAUCAGUCAUAUUUUAUUUCAAGGAAAAUGAUACUCAGAGACUGAGACUGUUUUUGAUAAUAGCUUAUUUAACACAGGUUUACUGUGGGAAUUGUAAUAAUUUCACAAGCCAACAGUGUAAGGUUAAUGUCUCCUAAUAAGCCAAUAAAGAAGUAAUACACACCAAGCCGAGAACAGAUUAAUUAUACUAUUGUUCCAGGCAAAGGGAGAUGAAAGACAUAAAUUCAGAUUUAGUUGAGGUGUUUCUUUUUUACGAUUUGGUUCCUGGGAGUGUGGACUUAACCAACCUUGAAGUAACAUCCAGCUGCCAGUGAAACAAAAGUCUCUUGUUGCUAGAGCAUGUUGCUAGGGAACAGUAGCAUUGGUGUUGGUGGGCAAGAUGAUCUUUAUGCAGCCACUUCCACUGCCAGUAAAGGAGUCCCCUUUACUCCAGCAGCAGCUAAUGCUUCAAGGUCUCUGGAAAGCUGUUUAGACCAUCAAGGGAUAGUCUUGCCUACAUGAACAUUCAGUGCUCACAAGCUUUCUGUAUGUAUAGUCUAAAUGUCCCCUUGCCACAGUUGUUUCUCCCUAUGUUCUUUUUUAAAAAAUUAAAUUAUAAAUUUUACAAUGUUCCUUCAACUUUUGCUGUACAGAAAAGUGACCCAGUCAUAUGUGUGUGUGUGUGUGUGUGUGUGUGUGUGUAUGUGUAUACAUUCUUUCUUUUAACUAUCUUUCAUCAUGUUCUAACCCAAGGGAUUGGACAUAGUUCCCUGUGCUACACAGUAGGACCCCAUUAUUAACCUGUUCUAAAUGCAAUAGUUUGUAAAUACAAAUCCCAAACUCCCCAUGCAUCCCACUCCCUCCUUCCUCCUCUCUGGCAAACACAAGUCUGCUCUUUGUGUCUGUGAUCUGUUUCUGUUCAAAAAUAUAUGAACAUCCCUAUGUUCAUUGCAGCACUGUUCACAAUAGCCAACACAUGGAAAUAAGCUAAACGUCCCUGUGUUCUUACUGAUAAGCCCCUUGCAGGGCCUCUCAGCAGCUGAGUUACUGUGUGCUUAUAGGAAACCACAGAUGUGGAUGGUGACACACUGACACACAAUUUUACUUUUAUAUCUAAACAAAAAUUUAAAAUUCUUAAAAACAAAUUUAUUCUUUAAAAAAAGCUUCAUUUUUUGGUCAUAAACAAGUAGUUUUGAAAUCUUAUCAAAACAACGCACAGCAAUCCAUAUGAAGAGAUGUACGGGAUAAGGUCUGGAAGGGUCCUGCAAACAGGAGCUUCUGUCUCUGCAGAACUAGGGUAUACCACUGUCCUGGCACUGGGUACAUCCCCCAACUGAAGCUCUCAGAAACCCCAAACUUAAGGACUUUAUGGAAUUCUCUUGACAUAGGCAUGAUUGAGUAAAUCAUUGGCCAUUGGUGCUUAACUCAAAUUCUAGCCCUUCUUCCCUCCCCAGAGAUGGGGAGGGUAUGGAAAGUUCCAACCUGCUAAUGAUGCCCAGUCUUUCUGGUGACCUGAUCCCAUCCUGAAGCUAUCUAGGGGCCCUCAGCACACAUAAGGCCACUAACACGCUAAAGACACAUCACUCUGGAAAUCCCAAGGUUUUUAGGAGCUUAUCGCAGGAAUCUGACACAAAGCUCAAAUAUAUAUUUUCUGUUGUGCCACAAAGAUGAGUAAUUGUGACUUGAGAGACUCAGACCAGAGAUUGGUAGAAUUUGUCUUCUUGAAGCACUGUCUGGUGGAACCUGUAAGAAAAGGUGAAGGAGGAUUUUGAUCAGAUAGGAUGUGGAACUCUUUAAUUCCACUUCAUCUUAAGCCACAUAAGCCACAUAAUACAACUUUAAAAAAUUGAGAUAUUGAUUAGUUUAUAACAUUAUAUAAGUUUUAUAGGUUGUACAUGCACAUAAAUUUUGGUCUUACAAAAACAGUGGUGAUGCUGCAUCAAACUAACCUCACUUCCUGAUAUCUUCUCCUUCUAUCAAUACUCUCCAUCUUUAGAUUACCGUUGAGUAAAGAAGGGCUAAAAUGAAAAGGAACCAUGAGUUACCCCACCUUUCCCUUUUUCUCUAUGUCAUUAUUUUCAGUGUAAACAUUGCCUACAAUAGGAAAGUAACACUAAAAAUAAUGGGUAUGGUGGGUUUUCUGCUUAUUUGUGUUUCUUAGACUGCCAAUGCCUUUUUUUUUUCUUUUCUAUUGAAGCAAGUCUGGUUCAAGUGGGAAGUGUGGUUUUCAGGAACCUCAAUGUUUAUUUUUUAAAUUUUUAUUUAUUAUUAUUAUUAUUAUUUUUUUUUUAGGGACACAUCUGCAGCAUAUGGACGUUCCCAGGCUAGGAUUUGAAUUGGAGCUGCAGCUGCUGGCCUAUGCCACAACCACACCAAUGCAGGAUCUGAGCUGCAUCUGCAACUCACACCACAGUUCAUGGCAAUUGCUGGAUCCUUAACCCACUGAGUAGGGCCAGGGAUCGAACCCACAGCCUCAUGGAUACUAGUAGGGCUUGUUUCUGCUGAGCCGCAGUGGGAACUCUCCUCAGUUAUUCGUUUUUAGAUGCAAAUUAUUUCCUUUUUCUUUCUCUUAUUAUUAUUUUUUUGGCCAUGUCCAUGGCAUAUGGAAGUUCCUGGCCAGGGAUCAAAAUCUGGCCACAGCAGCAACCCUAGCAGCUUCAGUGACAAUGGCAUAUCUCUAACCUGCUGCACCACAAGAGAACAUCCUAGAUAUCAAUUCUUACUUGAUGUUUGUUUAAAGUCUCCAUAACUCUAACACAAUGAAAUUCUCUAUUAACAAGGCCUUUUGAGUGUGAUAUGAAAAAGGUAUGUGUGAAUGGAGUGACCAGGAAUGGUGUAUAUUGUAGUGUCUCUGAGCACAUGUAUACUCUAUGGUCUCAUAGGACUUUCUUUACAAAACACAAAUUCAAAGAGAAAAUUAUUAGCAUUUUGAGUCAGGGAUUGCAGAGCAUUAAACCCAAUGUGAGGCCCUGUACACCUUCACAGCUCACACCCCGUAAAGCUGGCCCUGUAAGAAUGCUCUCAGUCAUUUGCUUACCCUGGGAGUUGUGUGAGUCAUAAUCAAAACAUACUGACUCAGGGUAGAAAAGGAACUGACUCUUUUUAAGAGAAGGGGAGAUUGGACUUUGGGGAGACAAAUGCAACAGAUGUUUACUAUAGGAAGAAAAGAAGAGGGACAAUUAUCUAUGCUAUCUUCUUCAUCCAUAAAACACAAAGGAUUAUCCAGCUCAAGGGUAAGUGGAAAGUUUUUCUGCAAAAUAACUUUUUAUUCCUUGCAAAAUCCCUGCAGAAUACCUUUAUGUGAAAUUCAUCUGUGCUAGGAAGGAUCUAAUCUGUUUAUAUCUAUUUUCAAAACCUAUGCUAUCCAGUACUUGUGAGCGGUAAUCCCAUGAUUAUCUACAUAUGGAAAUUACUGUGUCUGUAAUGCGAGACUAAAGAAUAUCGUCUUUAGAAUGAUGGCACUUGAUGGGGUGGAAAGUUGAUUCCAUGUGCAUGGAUUGUUUUAUCACAUGAUUCUGUGAACAUAUCCCUGUUAUCUGCCCAAGUUGAGGAUUCAAAGAAAUGUGUCUACUUCUUUGUAUUCCUGAUAAUAAUACAAAGAAAAAUAUAGGAAACAAAAUUCAUGCUUACCAAAUAUUUGUUGUCUAUUGAAAGAGUUCCAUUAUGGUACAGUUUCUAUUCUUUAGUUUUCACUCAUAGGGCUUGCAUUUUUCAGAGUCAAGAGUAUGUGAUUUGAUAUUCCUUUCAGCCUGCUUUUUAAAAAAUUGUAUCACGUUGUUCUGAGUAAUUGGCCCAGGUGUUCACUGUCCAAAGCUCAACUUCAGCAGUGCAUCUGAUGACUUUCCUAUUUUUUGGAAGGGCACUUUGGGAAGGUCAAAAUAUUACAUGUCUCACUUACCGCUUUCAGUGAAAAAAGGGAGUUUAGUCAGAAAAAAAUCAGCCACACUGGCCUAUCUUGUACUUCCUCACCCCCGUGUCUUGCCUUGUUGUUCCCUCUGCCUGGAAUUCUCUUUCCCAGAAAUGCCAUUUGGCUUCAGCUUACCUCAGUGAGCUCUUUACUCAAAUAUUUCCAUCUUUUUGAGUUCUUCCUGGCCAUUCUAUUUAAAAUUAAAUCUCACCCCCCACCGUGACCUUUGUAUGCACCUUCACUGUUUAUUUUUCUCCAAAACACUAAUCGUCAUCUGAUCCAGAAUAUGUAUUAUUGAUUUUUAUAUAUCUUUUUCUGGACACUAGAAAGUAAGCCCAGGAGAGCAAGGGCUUGUUCUGUCAUAUUUAUUGCUGAUCCUCAGCAUCUAGAAUAUUCAAUGGUAUGUAAAACGCCUAGAAAAUAUUUGUUAAUGAUAUUGGCACUGAGUUGGAAAAGUUCAUGUCCCCAACAUAAUGGGGAAUAGCUUAAAGGGCCAUGGACCACAUUUUGAGAAUAACUGUCUGAUAACACACCAAUAUAUUAAUAUAUUGAGAAAUAUUUUUUUCUGAAGCUCCUUGGAUUUGAAUCUUUUCCUCCUUUCCUUUAGAUUUUGCACAAUCCUCUCUGUCAUUGAAGGUAAUCUGAUCAGUCACACUGAUGGAACUGCCAGCACAUGUGUUGGUCUUUUCUGGCUCACAGUCAUUUUUGUAAUUUAAUUAGGACUGAGUGGGUUAACAUCUGCUGAAAAUAAAAGUAGAUUAAAAGGUUGAGUUGUGACAGAAUAUUCCUAAUC